GUAACCCAUCUUCCCUUCCCUCUGUCCCAAUUGUGAGCGGCGAGAAACAACCAGAGAAAGGCAAAACCACCAAGGAUUCGGCACUGACCUUGACGCUUGGCGACGCCGUCUUCUCUCUCAACCGUCCGCUGCACCGCUCCACGCGACUGCCUGCCUAUUACCGGUUAACUUUCAAUUGCAAUGGUCGUAUCUUUAUACAUUGGAUUGGAGAUGUAUGGAUUUUACUCGUGGCAGUGGAUACUACAAAGAGCAUACACGAAGAUGGCAUGCAAUAUUUGAACGAGUCAAAUGGUGGAUCAUUUUAGCAAUUGUGGAUGUCAUCAAACAAAAAGCAUAUAUGUGGAUAGCAUACACGUGGAUGGCAUGCAAUAUUUAGGAGUUCAUUUUAGCAAUUUUCUGUUUUGAGCGAAUUUAAGGAUAUUUUUGUCAUUUUUAUAGUUUUUAAUUUUAUUUAGAUUUAUCUACAGAAUUAGAAUUUUGCAUUGAUUAGAGUUCGUUUUAACUCUUUAAAUUUGUGUUAAAGGGAUUGAACAACCUACAAAUAUUUUGAUUAAUAAUAUCAUAAUUUAUUUCGUUAA
Molecule: long non-coding RNA, 578 nt
Organism: Olea europaea var. sylvestris
Lineage: Eukaryota; Viridiplantae; Streptophyta; Magnoliopsida; Lamiales; Oleaceae
Exons: 2
Source: RefSeq, a predicted model, not a curated record